This 27-nucleotide small RNA is filed under the name Bombyx mori (domestic silkworm). RNAcentral describes it as "ovarian small RNA-38026". Lineage: Eukaryota; Metazoa; Arthropoda; Insecta; Lepidoptera; Bombycidae. The record is from RNAcentral.
UUGGGAAAUAAAAUUGAACUUCUUGAA